UUGCACGCAGUAUCGUAGGUGUCUCUUAUAAUAUAGAGCGAUCUUGAUACAUAGUGCAUAUAUUAAGAGCUGUUUAUUCAGCAAGCAGCCAGACAACUGCUGAGAUGGAUCCACAGAUUCACGGCUUAUUCAUGCUGUUUCUCUACUAAUUCCAUCUUACAUUU
Molecule: non-coding RNA, 164 nt
Organism: Cicer arietinum (chickpea)
Lineage: Eukaryota; Viridiplantae; Streptophyta; Magnoliopsida; Fabales; Fabaceae
Source: Rfam